Molecule: ribosomal RNA, 485 nt
Filed under: uncultured bacterium
Lineage: Bacteria
Description: partial 16S ribosomal RNA
Rfam family: Bacterial small subunit ribosomal RNA
Source: RNAcentral
AUUGAACGCUGGCGGCAUGCCUUACACAUGCAAGUCGAACGGCAGCACGGGUGCUUGCACCUGGUGGCGAGUGGCGAACGGGUGAGUAAUACAUCGGAACGUACCUUAUCGUGGGGGAUAACGCAGCGAAAGUUGCGCUAAUACCGCAUACGCCCUGAGGGGGAAAGCGGGGGACCGUAAGGCCUCGCGCGAUUAGAGCGGCCGAUGUCUGAUUAGCUUAUUGGUGAGGUAAAAGCUCACCAAGGCGAUGAUCAGUAGCUGGUCUGAGAGGACGAUCAGCCACACUGGGACUGAGACACGGCCCAGGGUCCGACGGGAGGCAGAGGUGGGGAAGUUUGGAAAGUGGGGGCAACCCUGAUCCAGCAAUGCCGCGUGGGUGAAGAAGGCCUGCGGGUGGUAAAGCGCUUUUGUCAGGGAAGAAACAGCAGCUCUAACACAGUCUGCGAAUGACGGUACCUGAAGAAUAAGCACCGGCUAACUACGUG